CCCUUAGAUGUUCUGGGCCGCACGCGUGCUACACUGAGUGGAUCAGCGGGUCAGGUUGCGCGAAAGCGUUUCCUAAUCUUUAAAUCCGCUCGUGAUGGGGAUUGACGGUUGCAAUUUUCUGUCAUGAACGAGGAAUACCUUGUAAGCGCGGGUCAUCAUCCCGCGCUGAAUACGUCCCUGCCCUUUGUACACACCGCCCGUCGCUACUACCGAUUGAAUGGUUUAGUGAGAUCUCUGGAUUGACGCUGGCUAGGGGGCGACCCUUGGCCAGACUGCUCGAGAAACUGCUCAAACUUGAUCAUUUAGAGGAAGUAAAAGUCGUAACA
Molecule: ribosomal RNA, 326 nt
Filed under: uncultured eukaryote
Lineage: Eukaryota
Description: partial 18S ribosomal RNA
Rfam family: Eukaryotic small subunit ribosomal RNA
Source: RNAcentral